RNAcentral lists this long non-coding RNA (1176 nucleotides) under Oncorhynchus kisutch (coho salmon). RNAcentral's name for it is "lncRNA (ENSOKIG00005043971.1)". Lineage: Eukaryota; Metazoa; Chordata; Actinopteri; Salmoniformes; Salmonidae. The record is from RNAcentral.
AUGAGCCUUGGGCUAGUUUCUUCCCUCUUUCCCCUCCCCUUUCCCCUCCCCUUUUCCUUUCCCCUCCCUUUCCCCCCCUCUUUUCCACUUCUCCUUUCCACUACUCCUUUCCCCUCCUCUUUCCCCCUUCCCCUUUCCCCUCCCCUUUACCCCUUUCCCCUCCCCUUUCCCCCCCUCUUUUCCACUUUCUCCUUUCCACUACUCCUUUCCCCUCCUCUUUCCCCCUUCCCCUUUCCCUCCUCCUUUCCUCUCCCCCUUUCCCCUCCCCUUUACCCCUUUCCCCUCCCCUUUCCCCCCCCCUUUUCCACUUCUCCUUUCCACUACUCCUUUCCCCUCCCCUUUCCCCUCUCCUUUACCCCUUUCCCCUCCCCUUUCCCCCCUCUUUUCCACUUCUCCUUUCCACUACUCCUUUCCCCUCCCCUUUCCCCUCCCCCUUUCCCCUCCCCUUUCCCCCCUCUUUUCCACUUCUCCUUUCCACUACUCCUUUCCCCUCCCCUUUCCUCUCCCCCUUUCCCCUCCUCCUUUCGCCUCCCCUUUCCUCUCCCCCUUUCCCCUCCUCCUUUCCCCUCCCCUUUCCUCUCCCCCUUUCCCCUCCUCCUUUCUCCUACCCUUUCCUCUCCCCCUUUCCCCUCCUCCUUUCGCCUCCCCUUUCCUCUCCCCCUUUCCCCUCCUCCUUUCGCCUCCCCUUUCCUCUCCCCCUUUCCCCUCCUCCUUUCUCCUACCCUUUCCUCUCCCCCUUUCCCCUUUCCCCUCCUCGAUUCCAACCCCCCAUUUCCCCUCCCCUUUCCCCUCCUCCUUUCGCCUCCCCUUUCCUCUCCCCCUUUCCCCUCCUCCUUUCGCCUCCCCUUUCCUCUCCCCCUUUCCCCUCCUCCUUUCUCCUACCCUUUCCUCUCCCCCUUUCCCCUCCUCCUUCUCCUACCCUUUCCUCUCCCCCUUUCCCCUCCUCCUUUCGCCUCCCCUUUCCUCUCCCCCUUUCCCCUCCUCCUUUCGCCUCCCCUUUCCUCUCCCCCUUUCCCCUCCUCCUUUCUCCUACCCUUUCCUCUCCCCCUUUCCCCUUUCCCCUCCUCGAUUCCAACUCCCCCUUUUCCCUCCCCUUUCCCCUCUCCCUUUCCCUCCCCCUUUCCCCUCCUCCUUUCCCCUCCCCUUUCCCCUCCCCCUUUCCACUCCUCCUUUCCC